RNAcentral lists this ribosomal RNA (815 nucleotides) under Bacillus sp. Bac4D3. RNAcentral describes it as "bacterial SSU rRNA". It matches the Rfam family "Bacterial small subunit ribosomal RNA", at positions 29 to 842 of the family's 1533-position model. The record is from RNAcentral. Lineage: Bacteria; Bacillati; Bacillota; Bacilli; Caryophanales; Bacillaceae.
GCAACUCUUGGCGGCUUCCUUAUAUGCAUUUAGCGGACAGAUGGGUAGCUUGCUCCCUGAUGUUAGCGGCGGACGGGUGAGUAACACGUGGGUAACCUGCCUGUAAGACUGGGAUAACUCCGGGAAACCGGGGCUAAUACCGGAUGGUUGUUGAACCGCAUGGUUCAGACAUAAAAGGUGGCUUCGGCUACCACUUACAGAUGGACCCGCGGCGCAUUAGCUAGUUGGUGAGGUAACGGCUCACCAAGGCGACGAUGCGUAGCCGACCUGAGAGGGUGAUCGGCCACACUGGGACUGAGACACGGCCCAGACUCCUACGGGAGGCAGCAGUAGGGAAUCUUCCGCAAUGGACGAAAGUCUGACGGAGCAACGCCGCGUGAGUGAUGAAGGUUUUCGGAUCGUAAAGCUCUGUUGUUAGGGAAGAACAAGUGCCGUUCAAAUAGGGCGGCACCUUGACGGUACCUAACCAGAAAGCCACGGCUAACUACGUGCCAGCAGCCGCGGUAAUACGUAGGUGGCAAGCGUUGUCCGGAAUUAUUGGGCGUAAAGGGCUCGCAGGCGGUUUCUUAAGUCUGAUGUGAAAGCCCCCGGCUCAACCGGGGAGGGUCAUUGGAAACUGGGGAACUUGAGUGCAGAAGAGGAGAGUGGAAUUCCACGUGUAGCGGUGAAAUGCGUAAAGAUGUGGAGGAACACCAGUGGCGAAGGCGACUCUCUGGUCUGUACUGACCUGAGAGCGAAAGCGUGGGGAGCGACAGGAUUAAUACCCUGGUUAUCCCCCCGUAACAUGAGUGCUAAUGUUAGGGGGUUUCCCCCCU